CGGUGAAGCAGGAGCUUGCUUCCUUGUGGAUCAGUGGCGAACGGGUGAGUAACACGUGAGCAACCUGCCCCGGACUCUGGGAUAAGCGCUGGAAACGGCGUCUAAUACUGGAUACGAGUAGCGACCGCAUGGUCAGCUAUUGGAAAGAAUUUCGGUCUGGGAUGGGCUCGCGGCCUAUCAGCUUGUUGGUGAGGUAAUGGCUCACCAAGGCGUCGACGGGUAGCCGGCCUGAGAGGGUGACCGGCCACACUGGGACUGAGACACGGCCCAGACUCCUACGGGAGGCAGCAGUGGGGAAUAUUGCACAAUGGGCGCAAGCCUGAUGCAGCAACGCCGCGUGAGGGAUGACGGCCUUCGGGUUGUAAACCUCUUUUAGUAGGGAAGAAGCGAAAGUGACGGUACCUGCAGAAAAAGCGCCGGCUAACUACGUGCCAGCAGCCGCGGUAAUACGUAGGGCGCAAGCGUUAUCCGGAAUUAUUGGGCGUAAAGAGCUCGUAGGCGGUUUGUCGCGUCUGCUGUGAAAUCUGGGGGCUCAACCCCCAGCCUGCAGUGGGUACGGGCAGACUAGAGUGCGGUAGGGGAGAUUGGAAUUCCUGGUGUAGCGGUGGAAUGCGCAGAUAUCAGGAGGAACACCGAUGGCGAAGGCAGAUCUCUGGGCCGUAACUGACGCUGAGGAGCGAAAGGGUGGGGAGCAAACAGGCUUAGAUACCCUGGUAGUCCACCCCGUAAACGUUGGGAACUAGUUGUGGGGUCCAUUCCACGGAUUCCGUGACGCAGCUAACGCAUUAAGUUCCCCGCCUGGGGAGUACGGCCGCAAGGCUAAAACUCAAAGGAAUUGACGGGGACCCGCACAAGCGGCGGAGCAUGCGGAUUAAUUCGAUGCAACGCGAAGAACCUUACCAAGGCUUGACAUAUACGAGAACGGGCCAGAAAUGGUCAACUCUUUGGACACUCGUAAACAGGUGGUGCAUGGUUGUCGUCAGCUCGUGUCGUGAGAUGUUGGGUUAAGUCCCGCAACGAGCGCAACCCUCGUUCUAUGUUGCCAGCACGUAAUGGUGGGAACUCAUGGGAUACUGCCGGGGUCAACUCGGAAGAAAGGUGGGGAUGACGUCAAAUCAUCAUGCCCCUUAAGUCUUGGGCUUCA
Molecule: ribosomal RNA, 1144 nt
Filed under: Microbacterium keratanolyticum
Lineage: Bacteria; Bacillati; Actinomycetota; Actinomycetes; Micrococcales; Microbacteriaceae
Description: bacterial SSU rRNA
Rfam family: Bacterial small subunit ribosomal RNA
Source: RNAcentral